CCCGUGCACUCGCUAUCCAGCAGGUAACAGGGGGAGCAAGCAAAAACCCGCUUGAGCUUGGAAGAUGCCAGCCGUGAGGCUGUGCUGGAGUCUGCUAUAUGGUUACGUAGAUGGUAAGAGGAGGUGAGAAUGGCUGCUCAUGCUGCUAAUUGUAGGACAGAGAGAAGCUAGCCUAAUAUUAGUGUUAGGAAAGUGGUAAAUCCCAAUGGCGGUGGGAUUGUUGUGAUGCCUAAUGGAGACUGCUGUUUGGUGAUGCCUAAUGGUGAUAGGAGUUAGCAGGGUGAUGCCUUAUGG
Pelobates cultripes (western spadefoot toad) is the source of this 294-nucleotide non-coding RNA. NCBI's taxonomy places the organism in Eukaryota, Metazoa, Chordata, Amphibia, Anura, Pelobatidae. The record is from the annotation of a GenBank genome assembly.